CAACACUCAAGAUUUAUCCCUAUCCUUCCAUAAAUCUCUACCCUUCAUUUUACAAUGGCAUUUUGGUAGAUACUUGAUCCGUCCAAGGGUUACCAUAAACGGCUUUUUGUGGGAAACCCUACCCGCAUCGUUAUUCUCAUCCUUCACACUCCCGUUGUCCUUUUUUUCUUUUUCUUUUUGGGAAAAAUCACUUUCCGGCUAUCUCCCUCUCCCUCCCUCUCUCUUUGUUCGAUCGACCCACCACCAUAGACCCACCACAUCCCUCUCUCCCUCCUACCUACAACACCACCGCAAGCCCUCGAAAACCGAAUCCCAAUCGCUCCUCUCUGGCGAUCCCGAUUCGACACCACUAACACCACCGACCGGCGCGACAAGUCACCUCUGGAACCACCGCCGUUCGAGGUUCUCAGGGUUCGAAUCGAUGGCAUGUAGUUCUUCUUCACCCCAAAAGGUUUGUAUUUCUUCACAUCUUUCACUAAAAAAAAAGUACGGGUUUAGGGUUUGUUCAUUCCCAUGGCAUAGACCGAAAGAACACCGAUUACCUACAUGAUUCAUGUUGUCGUAGGUAUGAGUACUUCUCAGGUUAUGGUUGUUCUCUCUCCAAGGGAUUUCUUCUACCGCCAACUGUGGCCGAUCGAACUUUGCGCUCACCCAAGUAGCGGGAACAACCGAGGUCAAAGGUGGAGAAACUGAAAGUGGAGCAAUGUAGGUAUACUUGAGGAAAAAUGGGUUGAGGUAGACUGGGAACAAAGACACCCACAUUGGGCGCAUUAAAGAGCAUCUAAGGUGAUGCAUGCAAAGGGGAUUUGGUGGCUGUCCUCAUCAAAUUUCCCUUGGGUGCAGCUGAAGAAAACCAUUUGACACCUUCAAAUUGCAGCUUGAAACACCUCUAGGCAAUAAGAACAGCAUCAGAACUUGCCACCAAAGAAGACAAUAGUAGCAGUAGAAAUGAGCACGGAAGAGCCCAAUAGCAGCAACAGAAAAGGACACCAUAUGGAAGUCCAUAUGCAGCAAAAGUGACAACCGAAUUUGAGACCAAAGAGUAACAAGAGCAACAACACAACAACAACAAACCACAACAAAUGUACUUCACACUUAACAACAUACUUUGCAGAAAAGGUAUGAUUGUCACCUUUAUGGUGUGAGUUUCUCCUAUAUGAGCAAGUGUUUUUAGGUAAAAUUGUGGCUACAUGAUGUAGUUAACUUAUCAAGAUUGUUCCUCGGGGAUUUAUUUGUUCCUUAAAGCUAGAAUCGUGUAGGAUCAAUUGUUGGCUUCAAAAUGGAGAGGAGAUGUACCUUAAGGCUUCAGUCACAGUAGAAUACUUGGUGUUGCUUAUUGACCCUUUUGUAGCUUUGUCAAGCUGACCCUUUCAUUUAAUUGUGUUCUCUAUAUUGGAAUUUGUAGGUGUUUCAUGAUAGUCGUUUAUUUUUCUUCAAUCGUGAAUUGAAACUAUCUUAGGUUGGUUGAUUCAUGUACAAAAUUGUGAUGCGUCAUCGUGAUCAAUGUGCCAAGUUGAAUACUUACAUCCUUUUGAGUACUACACUCAUGAAUUAGAUGGCUUUAAAUUGGGCAUUGUUUCCAGAAGUUUAGUACUAGCCUAUACUUAUGAUCUCCCCGAACAUCUCCUUGUCAUUCCUUUAGGCACGGGCGAUUUCAUGAAUAUGCUUGGGUCAUUAUUUUUUGCAUAGUUGAAUUUGUUGGACAGGGGUUGAUAUAUUGUGCAUGAGUCCAGUGUUUAUUUGCUUGUGUCGAUCAUUCGAGCUGUGUCUUCAGGCACGGGCAUGCACUAGUGUGUGUGUGUGUGUGUGUGUGUAUAUAUAUAUAUAUAUAUAUAUAUCAGAGCGGUUCUCUGGACAUCUAUAAAAAUAUCUAAAAAAACUUCUCAUAAUUCCUGAUCAAAUUUCAAUGAUUCGAGUUGCUCAAUGUGAUCAGAACGUGAUUUUAAGGGUACCCGUGAGAAAUCAGCAAAAAAAAUGACCUGGAAGGGCUUGAUCUGAACAGUUCCGAAUAGUUUUUUAUUGAACGGUUCAAAUAAAAACUGCUCAAAUCAAGCCUUUCCCGGUCAUUUUUUUUGUUAAUUUCUAGCGGGCACCGUUAAAAUCACAUUCUACACACAUUGAAUGGUUUGGAUCAUAAAAAUUUGAUCGGAAACUAUGAAAUUGAGAUUUGAGAUGUUUUUUUAAAUGUCCCCGGAACUGCCCCGUGU
Molecule: long non-coding RNA, 2207 nt
Organism: Rhododendron vialii
Lineage: Eukaryota; Viridiplantae; Streptophyta; Magnoliopsida; Ericales; Ericaceae
Exons: 4
Source: RefSeq, a predicted model, not a curated record